Aethalodelphis obliquidens (Pacific white-sided dolphin) is the source of this 5113-nucleotide RNA transcript. It is a transcript of the gene named AVL9 cell migration associated, with no coding region annotated. The transcript is spliced from 19 exons. The record is from RefSeq and is a predicted model, not a curated record. NCBI's taxonomy places the organism in Eukaryota, Metazoa, Chordata, Mammalia, Artiodactyla, Delphinidae.
CGGAAGCGGAUGAGGGAAGCUCGGCUGCGGCCCGGGGGGGGCGGUGCAGAGCUGCAGGAGCCUCGGCCUCCUCCUCGGUCCCUGCGAGGCUCUCAUGCGACGCCCUCGCUGACACCUGAAAUCCACUGCUCGCCUCCUCCUGGGGGUCACGGGGUUGCUCGGCUUGCCGCCCUCGGCGGUUGCAGUCAUCGUCUUGCGGGCCUGCGGCGGUCGCCCAUGGAGAAAAACGGGCGCGGCGGCGAUAGCGCCCCCCGUGGGCCCGUAUUGCACAUCGCGGUGGUCGGCUUUCAUCACAAGAAGGGCUGCCAGGUUGAAUUCUCUUACCCGCCCCUGAUUCCAGGAGAUGGACAUGACAGUCACACUUUACCUGAAGAAUGGAAGUAUUUGCCCUUCCUUGCCUUACCAGAUGGCGCACACAACUACCAAGAAGAUACUGUGUUUUUUCACUUGCCACCCAGAAAUGGAAAUGGAGCCACUGUAUAUGGUAUCUCUUGCUAUCGACAAAUUGAAGCCAAGGCAUUGAAGGUACGGCAAGCAGAUAUCACCAGAGAGACCGUUCAGAAAAGUGUCUGUGUUCUAAGCAAGCUGCCUCUCUAUGGCUUACUUCAAGCAAAACUUCAACUCAUUACGCAUGCAUAUUUUGAAGAGAAGGAUUUUUCCCAAAUUUCCAUUCUAAAGGAGCUCUAUGAACAUAUGAAUAGUUCCCUGGGAGGAACUUCAUUAGAAGGAUCCCAGGUAUAUCUUGGUUUAUCUCCUCGAGAUCUUGUGCUUCAUUUUCGACACAAGGUCCUAAUCCUGUUUAAACUAAUUCUUCUUGAAAAGAAGGUUCUCUUUUAUAUUUCUCCAGUGAAUAAAUUGGUGGGUGCCCUGAUGACAGUGUUAUCCCUUUUUCCAGGCAUGAUUGAACAUGGUCUCAGUGAUAGUUCUCAAUAUAGACCCCGAAAGAGUAUGUCUGAAGAUGUUGGGCUUCAAGAAAGUAAUCCCACUGAAGAUGAGUUUGUUUCUAUGCCUGCUCCUGACAUUUCAAAUACCAACUUGGAAACUGUUGAGAAAAUCAUGAUGAGAAACCAUGGAAGAGAUGCUGCCAUGAAGACUGAAGAGCCUUUUUUCCAGGUAGAUGAUGACAGCAGUGAAGGACAGGAACCCAAUGACAGCAAUCAAUAUUUGAAACCUCCUUCUCGCCCAUCUCCAGAGUCUUCAGAAAGUGACUGGGAGACCUUGGAUCCUAGUGUCUUAGAGGACUCCUCCUUGAAAGAAAGAGAACAGGUGGGAUCAGAACAGACAAACUCAUUUCUAAAGGACUCUUUGCCCUCAGACAGUCCUCCGAUUACUGUACAACCUCAAGCUAACACAGGCCAGGUAGUCCUGAUACCAGGGAUAAUUUCUGGUUUGGAAGAGGACCAGUAUGGCAUGCCCCUGGCCAUCUUCACAAAGGGAUAUCUGUGUUUGCCUUAUAUGGCAUUGCAGCAGCACCAUCUUCUCUCUGAUGUCACCAUUCGAGGAUUUGUUGCUGGAGCUACUAACAUCCUUUUUCGACAACAGAAACACCUCAGUGAUGCCAUUGUGGAAGUAGAAGAAGCUCUGAUCCAGAUCCAUGAUCCAGAACUCAGGAAGCUGCUUAACCCAACCACUGCAGACCUAAGGUUCGCAGAUUACCUAGUGAGGCAUGUGACCGAGAACCGAGAUGAUGUCUUCCUGGAUGGCACGGGCUGGGAGGGAGGUGACGAAUGGAUUCGAGCCCAGUUUGCAGUCUACAUCCAUGCACUGCUGGCCGCCACGCUGCAGUUAGAUAAUGAAAAGAUCUUAUCAGACUAUGGGACGACCUUUGUUACAGCAUGGAAGAACACUCACAACUACAGGGUCUGGAACAGCAACAAGCAUCCAGCACUUGCAGAAAUAAAUCCAAACCAUCCUUUCCAAGGCCAGUAUUCAGUGUCAGACAUGAAGUUAAGAUUCUCACAUUCUGUUCAAAACAGUGAACGUGGCAAAAAACUUGGAAACGUCAUGGUCACAACGAGUCGGAAUGUUGUGCAAACAGGAAAAGCUGUUGGCCAGUCAGUUGGAGGAGCUUUUUCCAGUGCAAAGACAGCCAUGUCUUCAUGGCUUUCUACUUUCACCAGUUCCACUCCACAGAGUCUCACUGAGCUGCCUGACGGGAAACCCUGAGCGGAGCAAGCCACCCAGAAGCUGCUGUCGCUUUCUUAGGUUUAAGCAUCCCCUGUCUGUCUGCUGCUCCCAGACUGUUCCUCUUCAUCGACCACAGGUCCACAGCAGGGACCAAUAGGUCGAACUGUUUACAGGGACGGUUGCCCUCUGUGUAAAUGAAUGUCACGGGAUGCUGAAAAGACGAAACCACAAGCGUAGCAGGGACGGCUUCCCAGGAAAAAUGAGAAUAAAAUUAUCCUGUUUCUCCUGCAUACAGUGGACUUGGCCUGUUUUUCUAGAAGUACCCUUCAUGUUGUCAGUGUGGUUUCUGGCCUGCUUCACAGUUGGAGAGAAGGGCCAGCUUCGUUUAUUAGGAAACCAGCGGAACUAAAGGACUCAUUGCUCGUUUUUUUUUUUUUACUCUCUCAUUUUGAAAAUACUUGUGGUGCUUCAGUUUGUGAGGUGGUGACCCUCGCAGCAAGAAUGUUUAGUGCCUGGGGCUGCACAAAGUACCACCAAACGGAGUUUGGUCGUGCAGUAACAUCUUGUCACAUGCUCACGGACAGAAAUCCCCAGGGGACUAGGAUAUUGCCCCAAGCAACCCAUUUUUCCAUCCGUACUGGUGAGCUUCAGAAUAACCUUGACAUUUCCACUGAGGACUCCUAGCACAUUUUCACAUAUGUAUUUCCAUGUACCAUGGUUUCCUUAUAGCUGUUUUGCAAAACAGCUUCACAGAAGAAGGAGACAAAUUUCUUUGUUCCCAGGAAUGUGCGCUGCCUUGAGUACAGGGUUAAAUUUAAGGUACCAGUGUUCUUACAACGUGGACUGUUGCUGCCUGGAGCUGACAAGGUGACUCGGGCAGUAGAGCUCGACACCGCCAACAUCUCCCUUUUCCGAGGACCUGUUCCAGCUGCACUUCAGGCUCUGCCGUGGUGAGGGGAUGGUCCCCCAUUGUCUCCCAGGUCAGAGCUGCCUUCUCUUCAUUCUGAUAGAAUGGGAGUUGCAAUGAUCAAACCUGGCAACAUCUGGAAAGAGCAGGAUUAUAGAGGCAGUUUCUUCCAAGGAACCACACUUUGUGAAGGGCUCAUCUCCUCCUGUGGUAAUCACAGGCUUAGGGAACCGCUCUGCAGCAGGACUGAUCUGUCCAAGUUCACAAUCGACAAAUCCCCAGCGGAGCUUCCAGUCGCGUGACCGACAGCCAACUCCAGUCGAGGCAGCUAAGGUCUAGUCAUCCAGCGCAGGUCCUGUGCAAAACUUUGCCUCAGCAUGAGUUUUUGAAGACAGAGGAGGGAACCCAAUUUUUUUUUACUUUGAAGGGCUGAUGUUCUCCAAGUCUAGCAAUCACAUAAAUGUCCGGUGUGUCCGGAACUGUCCUGGGCAGCCACAAGCCCUAAGGACUUUUAGCACCGAAGCAGAGACUCACACUGGCCUCCAGAGAUCCAAGAUGUGCACAUCUUUGGCUACUUGCCCUGGGAAGUCACUUUCAGAACUAACCCAUGUCCCUCACACUGCAUUUUAAACCCUACCUUCUUCCCAUCAAGUAUUUGAGUGCCUACUGUGUACACACACAGUACAUGCCACCCACAUAGCAGGGGGAGAAUGGAUGGUUACCAUAGUGGGUAAAGAGGCUGGGUCAAAGGUCAGCCCAGUGUGUUUGAGCAGGUGGCCAGCUCCUUUUUGGCAGGGGUGAGUAGAUGUUUCUUCCCCUGAAGGCUAAGUGAUAGUUUUAGGAGUGAGGUGGGUUUAGAUACAAAGGGCUCCAGGACCUAGGAGAACAACAUAGGCAAAGACUGGGAAGCAGUGAAUGUUCUUUGGUGUGACUGGAACCUAAAUGGCAAGGGGGGAUGGGCAAGAGAUGAGGCUGUAAGAUAAGGCCAGGUUUGGAAAAAGAGAUACCUGUCAGCCUGGCAGAGGGGGGGUGGACUUGAUCUAAAAGGGCAGGGGAGAACCUUAAAGGGCUCUCCAAGGGCAAGUGGCAGGUUGGGUGCUGCAUUUGAGAAAGUUCAUUCUGGGUUGGGCACCACUGCAUUUGCAUGGCCAUUAGCUCUAGUGAUGUCUCUCUGAACUCAGCCAUCACCGCCUUCCUUUUCCUCAAGGGCCCAAUCUCUUAGCUUUGUACCAACUUUAAAUCCCAUUUGCCCCAAACAAUGGGCCCCAGAACAAAACUCCUAUGGACCCAGCCCUCAGUCAAAAACCAGUCACCCUGAUGUCACCCUAAGAACUGUUUUCCUUUGAUUUCUCCAGCCGUUAGACUAGCGGGGGUGGGGGGGUGGGGGCUUGUGAACGAGGAGCGGCUCUAAAGUGAUUGUGGGCGGUGCCGGGAGAGCCCGGAGGACACUUAAGCAUCUGCUGAGGUUACUCUUUUUGGCAAAGGGGAGACCCAAGAGACCCGUGCCGCCACCACCAUGUUGAUAAACCUGGGCGAAACUCACUGUUUCUUCCUAAAGUUUACAAGCAGGAAGGGAAUGCUUCGUAUGUUCUAAAAGUCCAUCUGCAGUUAACAUCCGGACUUUCAUUUAUAUUCGAUCUAAUCCAUGGAAUUUUUAUUCUGAUCAGCGUUACCAGAUGAGCCAUGUGCACUGAGGAAUGAUUAGCCCAAAGUAGGACAGAAGAGAAUCUGAAAAGUAGCCUUUCCACCUGCCCCCUGGCUCUGCCCUAGAAAACAGUCAGUCAGCAGCACUUCCUAGAAACCACGGAGACAGAAGUUACGCUGCACCGUCUUCAGCUGCAGGAAUCCUGAAUUGGUUCUUUGUACAAGAUCAUCCAUGAAACGCCAAAGCCUCAGUGCCCUCGAUAGAUCAUUCACUCCCACUAAAUGCCUUAGAAAUGGAAAUUCCAGAGGAACUUGACCACCUGCUAUAUAGAUGUCAUUAUCGGGAGUUACAACGGUUCCAACCUUAUGUAAAUCAGCUGGUGGGCUGCAUAGCUUGUAAACUUUUUCUGCUUGGGGGCUGUAACAGACAGAAGA